Molecule: non-coding RNA, 160 nt
Filed under: Bacteroides reticulotermitis
Lineage: Bacteria; Pseudomonadati; Bacteroidota; Bacteroidia; Bacteroidales; Bacteroidaceae
Source: RNAcentral
ACAGAUGGUGAUUAAAAGGGAAUCGGGUGUAAAUCCCGGACAGUCCCGCUGCUGUGAAACUCUAUGCAAUAUCUUAUGAAUAAACUAAUAACACGUCACUGAUGCAGAAUCGGGAAGACACAUAAGAUAGGAGUCAGUCAGAAGACCUGCCAAUUCAAGU